Dioscorea cayenensis subsp. rotundata (Guinea yam) is the source of this 122-nucleotide ribosomal RNA. NCBI's taxonomy places the organism in Eukaryota, Viridiplantae, Streptophyta, Magnoliopsida, Dioscoreales, Dioscoreaceae. The record is from RefSeq and is a predicted model, not a curated record.
GGGUGCGAUCAUACCGGCACUAAAAGCACCGGAUCCCAUCGAACUCCGAAGUUAAAGCGUGCUUGGGCGAGAGUAGUACUAGGAUGGGUGACCUCACAGGGAAAGUCCUCGUGUUGCACCCC